This 212-nucleotide ribosomal RNA is filed under the name uncultured bacterium. RNAcentral's name for it is "partial 16S ribosomal RNA". It matches the Rfam family "Bacterial small subunit ribosomal RNA", at positions 123 to 334 of the family's 1533-position model. The record is from RNAcentral.
AGCCUGCCUUGGAGAGGGGAAUAACACUCCGAAAGGAGUGCUAAUACCGCAUGAUGCAGUUGGGUCGCAUGGCUCUGACUGCCAAAGAUUUAUCGCUCUGAGAUGGCCUCGCGUCUGAUUAGCUAGUAGGCGGGGUAACGGCCCACCUAGGCGACGAUCAGUAGCCGGACUGAGAGGUUGACCGGCCACAUUGGGACUGAGACACGGCCCAG